CCUACGGGUGGCAGCAGUGGGGAAUAUUGCACAAUGGGGGAAACCCUGAUGCAGCAACGCCGCGUGAGUGAAGAAGUACUUCGGUAUGUAAAGCACUAUCAGCAGGGAAGAAGAUGAUGGUACCUGUAUAAGAAGCCCCGGUUAACUACGUGCCAGCAGCCGCGGUAAUACGUAGGGGGCAAGCGUUAUCCGGAUGUACUGGGUGGAAAGGGAGCGCAGACGGCAGUGCAAGUCAGGAGUGAAAGCCCGGGGCGCAACCCCGGAACUGCUCUGGAAACUGGGCGGCUAGAGUACUGGAGGGGCAGGCGGAAUUCCUGGUGUAGCGGUGAAAUGCGUAGAGAUUAGGAGGAACACCGGUGGCGAAGGCGGCCUGCUGGAC
This 379-nucleotide ribosomal RNA is filed under the name uncultured bacterium. Its description in RNAcentral is "partial 16S ribosomal RNA". It matches the Rfam family "Bacterial small subunit ribosomal RNA", at positions 338 to 734 of the family's 1533-position model. The record is from RNAcentral.